RNAcentral lists this ribosomal RNA (253 nucleotides) under uncultured prokaryote. Its description in RNAcentral is "partial 16S ribosomal RNA". It matches the Rfam family "Bacterial small subunit ribosomal RNA", at positions 524 to 776 of the family's 1533-position model. The record is from RNAcentral.
GACGGGGGGUCCAAGCGUUGUUCGGAAUUAUUGGGCGUAAAGCGUGUGCAGGUGGUUUUAAAAGUUAGGUGUGAAAGCCCCGAGCUUAACUCGGGAAGUGCAUUUAAAACUGUAAAACUUGAGUAUGGAAGAGGGUCGUGGAAUUCCAGGUGUAGUGGUGAAAUACGUAGAUAUCUGGAGGAACACCGGUGGCGAAGGCGGCGACCUGGUCCAAUACUGACACUCAUACACGAAAGCGUGGGUAGCAAACAGG